AUUGAACGCUGGCGGCAGGCCUAACACAUGCAAGUCGAACGGUAGCACAGAGAGCUUGCUCUCGGGUGACGAGUGGCGGACGGGUGAGUAACGUCUGGGAAACUGCCCGAUGGAGGGGGAUAACUACUGGAAACGGUAGCUAAUACCGCAUAACGUCGCAAGACCAAAGUGGGGGACCUUCGGGCCUCACACCAUCGGAUGUGCCCAGAUGGGAUUAGCUAGUAGGUGGGGUAAUGGCUCACCUAGGCGACGAUCCCUAGCUGGUCUGAGAGGAUGACCAGCCACACUGGAACUGAGACACGGUCCAGACUCCUACGGGAGGCAGCAGUGGGGAAUAUUGCACAAUGGGCGCAAGCCUGAUGCGGCCAUGCCGCGUGUAUGAAGAAGGCCUUCGGGUUGUAAAGUACUUUCAGCGGGGAGGAAGGCGGUGAAGUUAAUAGCUUCACCGAUUGACGUUACCCGCAGAAGAAGCACCGGCUAACACCGUGCCAGCCGCCGCGGUAA
RNAcentral lists this ribosomal RNA (504 nucleotides) under uncultured bacterium. Its description in RNAcentral is "partial 16S ribosomal RNA". It matches the Rfam family "Bacterial small subunit ribosomal RNA", at positions 29 to 523 of the family's 1533-position model. The record is from RNAcentral.